Long non-coding RNA from Hemicordylus capensis (graceful crag lizard), 730 nucleotides. RefSeq lists it as uncharacterized. The record is from RefSeq and is a predicted model, not a curated record. The transcript has 6 exons. NCBI's taxonomy places the organism in Eukaryota, Metazoa, Chordata, Lepidosauria, Squamata, Cordylidae.
AGCUCAGAGUUUCAGAUAGGGCUGGAAAGAGCCAAAGAUAGAUAGGGCUUAGAAAAGCCAGGAGAUGGGUGUCUGUUGUUAUAGUAACAGGGCUAGAGAGAGGAUCUCUUGGGAGAUGGGGUUCCAGGGAGGGACUGAGUAGGACAGGAUUGGUGUCUAUAGAAGGAGACAAAAGUGGACAAGUUGGUGGAGGGAAGAGGAAGAGCAUGAGUGAGUGAGCCAGUACGGUGGUGUCAAUGAGAGACCUAAUGGCCAGGGAAAUUGGAUGCCCACUAAUAGGGGCAGGUUACCCUGUUAGCUUCAAGCUUAGAGCCGAGACAAAUAUUGGGGCCUUGUGGAAGAACAGUGUUGGCACUACAAGUUCUGGUACACAUGGUUUGAAAUUUUGCCCAUAAGAGAACAGAUAGCUUGGAAAAGAAAGAGCCAGCUUUGAACGAAUGAAUAUAGUGUGGAAUGAAAUCCAACCAUUCGGAAGCAGUGAUCACAUUGCAACUAUAAGAUAUGAAUGGGUCUUUUGUCCGCCCUUGUUGGUUGAAAGGGUUAAUUAUUCUUCAUUAAGCAAUCUCAGGAAGACAAGUCCUUUUUACCAUCCAAGCAGCAACAGAGUGCAGUAACAAUGGCUGAGAAGAUGUAUGAAUAGCAGGUAGAUGAACGAAUCAUAGGCAAGGGUUUUUUGCGAAGAUUUUUGCAACUCUGAAAUGGCAAAAUUGAGCUUCACAAAAAUUCAGGA